This 465-nucleotide ribosomal RNA is filed under the name uncultured bacterium. Its description in RNAcentral is "partial 16S ribosomal RNA". It matches the Rfam family "Bacterial small subunit ribosomal RNA", at positions 28 to 506 of the family's 1533-position model. The record is from RNAcentral.
GAUGAACGCUGGCGGCGUGCUUAACACAUGCGAGUCGAACGAUGAAGCCCAGCUUGCUGGGUGGAUUAGUGGCGAACGGGUGAGUAACACGUGAGUAACCUGCCCUUAACUCUGGGAUAAGCCUGGGAAACUGGGUCUAAUACCGGAUAGGAGCGUCCACCGCAUGGUGGGUGUUGGAAAGAUUUAUCGGUUUUGGAUGGACUCGCGGCCUAUCAGCUUGUUGGUGAGGUAAUGGCUCACCAAGGCGACGACGGGUAGCCGGCCUGAGAGGGGGACCGGCCCAACGGGGACUGGGAAACGGCCAGACCCCCUCGGGGGGGAAGCGGGGGGGAAUAUUGCACAAGGGGCGCAAGCCUUAUGCAGCGACGCCGGGGGGGGGAUGACGGCCUUCGGGUUGUAAACCUCUUUCAGUAGGGAAGAAGGGAAAGUGAGGGUACCUGCAGAAGAAGCACCGGCCAAAUACGU